GGAGCUCCUUUUUGAGAUAUUUGAGAUUUAAAACAUAGCGGGAAAAGGCUGACUCGGUCUUUAUCUUAUCUUUGCAUUGGUAUUAUUUGGGUCUCAAAUCAAAAGAAAGAAAAUUAAAAAUCUUCUAAAAUUUUGGUAAAUGACCUUUUAUGAGCUAUUUUAAAAGUCUUAUAUGAAAAAAUAAAUGGGUGUUAUGGGUCAAAAUAUUUUACAUUGUAUUGUAUGGAAAAACACCAAGGAGUCCGAACAUUUGACACGAAUUCCAAAACCUCACCUAAGUACAUCCUUAAGUAGGAA
This 297-nucleotide long non-coding RNA is filed under the name Mytilus galloprovincialis (Mediterranean mussel). The record is from RNAcentral. Lineage: Eukaryota; Metazoa; Mollusca; Bivalvia; Mytilida; Mytilidae.